This 253-nucleotide ribosomal RNA is filed under the name uncultured bacterium. RNAcentral describes it as "partial 16S ribosomal RNA". It matches the Rfam family "Bacterial small subunit ribosomal RNA", at positions 524 to 776 of the family's 1533-position model. The record is from RNAcentral.
UACGAAGGGGACUAGCGUUGUUCGGAAUCACUGGGCGUAAAGCGCACGUAGGUGGAAUCGUAAGUCAGGGGUGAAAUCCCGGGGCUCAACCUCGGAACUGCCUUUGAUACUGCGGCUCUUGAGUCCGAUAGAGGUGGGUGGAAUUCCUAGUGUAGAGGUGAAAUUCGUAGAUAUUAGGAAGAACACCGGUGGCGAAGGCGGCCCACUGGAUCGGUACUGACACUGAGGUGCGAAAGCGUGGGGAGCAAACAGG